This 73-nucleotide transfer RNA is filed under the name Ovis aries (sheep). It matches the Rfam family "tRNA". Rfam says of the family: Transfer RNA (tRNA) molecules are approximately 80 nucleotides in length. The record is from Rfam by way of RNAcentral. Lineage: Eukaryota; Metazoa; Chordata; Mammalia; Artiodactyla; Bovidae.
UCCCUGGUGGUCCAGCGGUUAAGACUUUGCACUGCCAAAGCAGAGGUCACAGGUUCCAUCCCUGGUUGGGGAA